UACGGGGGGAGCGAGCGUUGUUCGGAAUUACUGGGCGUAAAGGGCGCGCAGGCGGUUGGAUAAGAGAGUGGUGAAAACCCCGGGCUCAACCUGGGGCCGGCCAUUCAGACUGUCUGGCUGGAGUGUGGGAGAGGGAAGUGGAAUUCCUGGUGUAGCGGUGAAAUGCGUAGAUAUCAGGAGGAACACCGGUGGCGAAGGCGGCUUCCUGGACCACAACUGACGCUGAGGCGCGAAAGCCAGGGGAGCAAACAGG
RNAcentral lists this ribosomal RNA (253 nucleotides) under uncultured bacterium. Its description in RNAcentral is "partial 16S ribosomal RNA". It matches the Rfam family "Bacterial small subunit ribosomal RNA", at positions 524 to 776 of the family's 1533-position model. The record is from RNAcentral.